ACACGUGCGAGGCUCACUUUCGCUCAACCCAGCCCAAUGCGACGCCAUUCGCAGCUUCAACUUGAAGAAAUCCAACUCCGGUUAAACUGAGAUGCGCUGUUCGAUGAGUGGGUUUCUUUUAAUUUCUACUUCCAGAUUUUUCUUCUAGUUACAUUCAUUCUUUUGCGGGAUUGCUGUUUUCAGCUGUUCUUAGUGGUUCACUGUAGUGGAUGGUAAUUUCGGGGGCCGAUUUCUGCUCGAUUUCCUGGGUUUUCUGUCGAUUAAAAGCUAUUGGGAAGAACGGGUAAUUUACUACUUUUUGGAAACCACAAAACUUGGUUGUGAUUAUGUCAAGACCUUGGGUUUUUGUCUGUCUGUUGUUACUCAUCGUGUUCUCCUCACAAUUUGAGUGGAGGCAACAGUAUGAGAACGAGCUGGAAGCAGGCCCAAACGCCUCACAGACAGAACCCCAUAUGUCUGAAAGAGAGGAAGCUGUAAAAGAAAAGAUUAUCCUUUCCCAGGAGAAAAACAUCCGGAGAUUGAAUGAGGUGGUGCAGAGUCUUAGAAGAGAGUUGGUCGAGUGCAGGGGUGAAGAACAGGAGGCAGUGAAUAGGACGGUGAGGCCUAUGACUGAGCUUCUAACAGUGUUCAACCAGCAGCCGAUAUUAGAUGAUUAGGUCCCAUGCCACUGACCACCACCCGUUCUUGUUAUUACACUUUGAUAGGACUUUUAACUGUAGAUGUAGAACAAUGUGCCCUUCUUCAACUCUAUCCAUCACUCGUAAUUAUAUAUAUCAAAUCUACGCUCUAUGAUUAAUUAAGCUAAGUUGAUUG
Molecule: long non-coding RNA, 813 nt
Organism: Cucurbita maxima (winter squash)
Lineage: Eukaryota; Viridiplantae; Streptophyta; Magnoliopsida; Cucurbitales; Cucurbitaceae
Exons: 3
Source: RefSeq, a predicted model, not a curated record